Long non-coding RNA from Onychostoma macrolepis, 2379 nucleotides. RefSeq lists it as uncharacterized. The record is from RefSeq and is a predicted model, not a curated record. The transcript is spliced from 4 exons. Lineage: Eukaryota; Metazoa; Chordata; Actinopteri; Cypriniformes; Cyprinidae.
GCAUUAGUGUCAGCUUCAUUCCUCUGAGUCCCGGACACACUCCCAAAUAGACCAAUCAUCAAGAUCCCUGUGUGAGAGAGGGAAAAGCGUCCUCAGCUAUCCUCGUGGCCAUGGCAGAACCUGCAUUUCAGCAAUCAUCCACAGGAGCUUGCUGUUGUUGCUUGCUGUUAAUAGAAAGAUCCGAGCCAUAAUCCAGAGCGAUUCCUCCAGAGGAACACUUGAUUAAGAUGUCAGUGAAUCAGGAGGACUGAUUAAGAUUGUGCCAAGCCAGCCAAGAUUAGUGCUUAACCGAUUGGGAACCUUUCAUGGUGACAUGAGCUACAGGCCACUCAUGCAGAGCAAACAUAAGGGGCCAGGUUGCUAGGAUACACAUGUACAGCCAUAAAACAAUCUGCCUCUGUCCAAGCACUUGAUGCUACAAUAAUUUUCCCCCAUUGUGGACUGCACAAUGUGUCUUCACAGGUUUCACUGAUUGUCUGAGAUUACUGCAUGUUAUGCGUUUGGCAAUGCAGCUCAGCAGUGCUUCACCCUUUUUUAAAUCAAAUUUUUAUUUCAUUAAAGAAGAUCACAUGCAGAAUAAUAUCGAAGUGCUUCUAAUGAGAGUAAUGUAGAGUUCUCUGUUCGCUCCCCGCGAUUUGUUCCUUGCAGAGGGCCGACCUGCUCUGAUUGCCUGAUUAAUAUGUUUUGAAAGCUGUAAUUAAGACAGAGGUCGACAUGCACAUAAUUCUAUUAUUUGAUCUACUGAAGCAACAAAUUUCAGAGUUGAGUCACUCUUCUAUGAAAGAGGCUUAGGAUUUUAAAUGGCCAUGUUUCAGUGCAGUGGGUUCUUCCGUUCUCUUUUUCAUUUUCACAGCAUAGUGCUUUGCUAUGCAUGCAUUCAUUCUUUUUCAAUCUUCUCUUUAGGAUUUAUUCAGUGAAAACCAGGAAAUAUCAGGAAUUUAUUUAAUUAGCGACAUCCAGGUUUGAAGAAUUCAAGCUCUUAAGUCGAAUUCUGUAGUAAAUAAAAUAUAUAUUUUUUCUAUUUCUGCUUGGCUAGCCAGAAUAUUUCACCAGCUAGAGAGUUCUUUUCAUAAGUGAAAUUCAUGAAAAAAUGUUUGUAUAUAUCAGGGGUGUUUCCUCUGAGGAGGCAAGCGAGGCAGUGCCUCCUCAAAAUAUUGGAUGAGAAAAAAAUUUGUUGUACAAAAAUAAAACAACGCCAUAUUACAAAAUAUAACAUUAAAAAGUUAUUAAAUCAAUAAUUUUUCUAAACAAACGUUGUCCAACAGUGACACCAGCAGGUAAAUUUACAACGAGAGUCCACAUCUCUCUCGCCUCCCCUGAGCCCAUUGAGUUUUAACAAACCCCCUACAGCUUGCCGCCUAUCCCACCUCUUGUGUUCGUGCAUGUUCCACAUUCGCGAAUCAGUCUGAAUGAACAAUAUAAUGGCUAAUAACUCACAAACUUAGAUAUAACCACUUUUUUUCAAAAUAAGAGUUAAAAUGGCUUGAAAAUAUGAUCUGUGGGAGUUUUUAGUGAGUAGUAAAAUUUCAAGUAAAUCUCUAUGUCUGUGACCAGUAUUUACUGUGCUUUAAUGACUGAUAAAAGUUAAAAGUUAAUUAUUAAAAAGAAUAGCUGAACAUAAGUUCACAAAUAAAAUAAAUAUUCUUUAAAUUGUUAUUUCCUUGAGUUAUUAUUUUGGAACAAAUGUAAAAUGCUUAAAAACACUAACUUGAUGAGAUUCGUAUUUGGAUUUAAAGGGGACCUAUUAUGCCCCUUUUUACAAGAUGUAAAAUAAGUCUCUGAUGUCCCCAGAGCAUAUAUGUGAAAUUUUAGCUCAGAAUACCCCACAGAUAAAUUUGUAUAGCUUGUUAAAAUUGCCACUUUUAGGGUAUGAGCCCAAACGCCCUGAUUUUGAGUAUGUUGCUUUAAAUGCAAAUGAGCUGUUGCUCCCGGAGAAGAGGGCAGAGCUUCAAGAGCUCAAGCUCCCCAUUAGCAGUGCUAGCCUUUGCAAAUAAACAUUCCACUAUUAGUACAAGCCUGUUAUUUUUACAGAAAACAUACUCCGUUUCAAAGUCAGUCAUACUGUGCAUAAUAAAUGAGUGUUUAUGAAUUACACAGACGGGGAGCACGGCAGGAUAAAAAUAACAACAUUGCUGGUCUCAUGCUAUCACAAAUUUUAUAAGUCCCACUUCUGAUUAUGAGCUUGACAAGCGAUCGACUCACAUUGCUUUCAUAUGCAACUUUUAACUACCACAUUCCUAUUUAAGAUCAUUCUGGUAGCACUUGAAGACAGCAUCAGUGAAAACAGGCAAUGAUAUCUUUAGCAAUUAGCCUUAGAGUGCCAAGAAGCUCUUUCAGAAAGGCAAUUUGGAAAACAAAUGCAUGAUACUUACUUUGUCU